This 253-nucleotide ribosomal RNA is filed under the name uncultured bacterium. Its description in RNAcentral is "partial 16S ribosomal RNA". It matches the Rfam family "Bacterial small subunit ribosomal RNA", at positions 524 to 776 of the family's 1533-position model. The record is from RNAcentral.
CACGUAGGGCGCAAGCGUUGUCCGGAAUUAUUGGGCGUAAAGAGCUCGUAGGCGGUUUGGCGCGUCUGCUGUGAAAACUCGGGGCUUAACUCCGGGCCUGCAGUGGGUACGGGCAGACUAGAGUGCGGUAGGGGAGACUGGAAUUCCUGGUGUAGCGGUGAAAUGCGCAGAUAUCAGGAGGAACACCGGUGGCGAAGGCGGGUCUCUGGGCCGUAACUGACGCUGAGGAGCGAAGGUCAGGGGAGCAAACGGG